Molecule: ribosomal RNA, 711 nt
Filed under: Listeria monocytogenes
Lineage: Bacteria; Bacillati; Bacillota; Bacilli; Caryophanales; Listeriaceae
Description: bacterial SSU rRNA
Rfam family: Bacterial small subunit ribosomal RNA
Source: RNAcentral
GUUAGGGGGUUUCCGCCCCUUAGUGCUGCAGCUAACGCAUUAAGCACUCCGCCUGGGGAGUACGACCGCAAGGUUGAAACUCAAAGGAAUUGACGGGGGCCCGCACAAGCGGUGGAGCAUGUGGUUUAAUUCGAAGCAACGCGAAGAACCUUACCAGGUCUUGACAUCCUUUGACCACUCUGGAGACAGAGCUUUCCCUUCGGGGACAAAGUGACAGGUGGUGCAUGGUUGUCGUCAGCUCGUGUCGUGAGAUGUUGGGUUAAGUCCCGCAACGAGCGCAACCCUUGAUUUUAGUUGCCAGCAUUUAGUUGGGCACUCUAAAGUGACUGCCGGUGCAAGCCGGAGGAAGGUGGGGAUGACGUCAAAUCAUCAUGCCCCUUAUGACCUGGGCUACACACGUGCUACAAUGGAUAGUACAAAGGGUCGCGAAGCCGCGAGGUGGAGCUAAUCCCAUAAAACUAUUCUCAGUUCGGAUUGUAGGCUGCAACUCGCCUACAUGAAGCCGGAAUCGCUAGUAAUCGUGGAUCAGCAUGCCACGGUGAAUACGUUCCCGGGCCUUGUACACACCGCCCGUCACACCACGAGAGUUUGUAACACCCGAAGUCGGUAGGGUAACCUUUAUGGAGCCAGCCGCCGAAGGUGGGACAGAUAAUUGGGGUGAAGUCGUAACAAGGUAGCCGUAUCGGAAGGUGCGGCUGGAUCACCUCCUUU